GAAUGAAUAAGUUAAGUUAAAAUUUUAUUUAUAAUUAUUUUCUUGACAAGUGACAAAUUUUUGCUAUAUAAGAAUCAAUAAAUGAGAGUCGAUCCUUAUCAAGCUUAAAGUUUCCGUUUCAAGAACUUCUAAAUUCAGCGAAACUAUGGCAACUUCUACUGCAACUGGAGACAAGUACAGGGAUUAUUUGACUGAAGAGGAUAUCAAAAACACCAAAUGGAAUUUUGGUCCUCCAAACUAUGAUGAUGUAAAUCAGCUGUUUGAAGAAGGGAGAACUAAUGUAUGCAGUUUUCGACCUUUAUUUUCGAUUUAUUACCUAAAAAUCCAAGUUACUUUCCAUUUGAUGUUUUUUUUUCCGAUUUGAUGCUAAUUUUAACACCAACGGAUAUGUAUAUGGCAGAUAUGGCCUGAAGGAUCACCUGAAGAGAAAGUGCAGAGGCUUGUGAAGACAUGGGAAAUGGAACUGGUACACAAGGCAGAUCCAAAUCAGUACAAGACCCUUGAUGCAAAGAAAUUCAAACUUAGUGUCAAUGGUAUGUUUUCUUUACAACCACAACGAUGGCGAAAAUUCUAUUAAUAUGGCAGUUAAUUAAGUACACGUUAGGGAGAGAGGUCGAACAUGGUGUCACAAGCAAUAUUAAACUCAUAUUGAACGGGUCAAGUUUGCAUGUAUAGAAUAUACUUGUGAUUAACAUGUAAAUUUACGGUAGAAAGAGAUUUUCUCAAGGAAACGCAUUUAACAAUGUUGAAUGUAACAUCAUAAACAGUUAGAAAGUUUUAAAAAUAAUUUACGCUACCUCACCCACUUAUAUAAUAACACUAAUAAACACAUUCAAAAUGUUCACCCAUGAGAUCUGGCCAAUAAGCAAGUUAAAAUAGUAUAAAAACUCGUAGGUAAAAGUCACUCUUGGAUGUGACUCGUGAUAAAUAAAUAAAUUUCUCGUUGAAAGAGACUUUCUCAAGGAAACGCAUUUAACAAUGUCGAAUGCAAAACAGGUAGAAAGUUUUUGACAUUGGAAGAAAUGAUUAAGAUUGGGGGAAGCUACAACGUGUUUCUACAGACAUCCUUGCCAAAAUCUUUAAGAUUCUACGAUCCUGAUGAGGAAACAGCUGAUUCCUCACAAACACUUUUCAAAUCAACAUUCGCGCGGGGAUUUGCAUUGGAGAUUCUUGAAUUGUAUUCAGGACCUCCUAAAAUUGUGUACAAAUUCAGGCAUUGGGGUUUCAUGGAGGGCCCUUUUAAAGGACAUGCUCCUACCGGCGAAAAAUUGGAAGUUUUUGGGAUUGGCAUUUUUGAGGUACCAUCACUCUAUCUUCAUCUUUAACUAAUAUCCUUUUAACUUCUUCACUGGAUAGCAUCCUAGACGUUUUAUUGUGUACUACACCUUUUGUGCCUUGUUUGGUAACAUACAUGACAAUAUUAAUACAUUGUUUUGUCGACUACUGAGUAUUAAACACGUUCUUUUAUGUGCUAAAACAGUUGGAUGAAAACUCCAAGGUUGUGAAGGUGGAGUUCUAUAGUGAUCGUGGAGAACUGUUGGCCGGUCUGAUUAAGGGUAAAACCUUGGAUAAUUCCACUGAGGCGACACCUUCUGGCUGCCCUUUAAUGUCUGGCUAAUGGGAUAGCAUUGUGGAUGAAGUAGCCUUUUCAGCAGCUAUGAACUUUUUAAUAAAGGAACUGUUUGUUAAUUAGGUUUGAUGAAUAAAUCAGGAAUGUAUCGAAUGGAUUGACACUCUGUACCAUAGAAAACGCAUUCCUGUAAGGAUUUUCAAACUAAUUGCUGCAUUUAUAUAACGAUUUUCAAAUUAAUUGCUGCAUUUAUAUUUAUU
Molecule: long non-coding RNA, 1830 nt
Filed under: Olea europaea subsp. europaea
Lineage: Eukaryota; Viridiplantae; Streptophyta; Magnoliopsida; Lamiales; Oleaceae
Source: RNAcentral